AUUGCAGGGGUGGAAUUCUCGUGUUUUUGUUUUCUCUGUUUUGUUCAAACGACGUUUCCACAACGUUGACGGUUUAUAAGCUUUAUUACUUCCGAAAACAGACAAAAAUGAAUCCAUAUGCCCUAAAGCGAUACACCCUAAAAGGAAGUGUAUAAAACCCACAGAUUUGAGACAAAAAUGGCUGGGUGAGGAAUUCGUUCCUCAGUUCAAUCUGGAAACUGGUAAUCGGAGAAGCUCAAGCUUCGUAUAAACAGCGUCACACUAUGAAAGUUUUCAUCAAUUCCAUUGCGAAAAUUCACCAAGUAAUGUCGUCUGCAUUACCAUCUUCGGAGGUGGUGUUUGCGGUCAUGAUAGCCUCACUAGUGACAUUACCGUCAGCACAGGUCAUCGUGAUGGUGUGUUUGUUAUACGGUUGCUUGCAGUGCAUUUCCAUUAUUGUGGUUCUCGGUGUUUCGCUGUAUACAAUUCCAAUAAGGCUAUGUACUUCUACCUACCGUGACGGCCAUUCUAGCAGGCGAUAUCCACCCAUUUUUCUGCCCCUUCGAGCUCGGCAUGUUGACCAAUUCAUGGAGCGCGACGGCGCCAAACAUCGCAAUUUUCAUUGACAUUGACUUGUCAGUAUAAAGACUCGCCCUGUGAUCUCAACCAGUUUUAUCCAUCGCUUCCAACUCAAUACAUCGCACACAUGAAGUUUAAGGUUGAAAUGAAAAUGUAUUUCUUUUGCCACCAACCAAUACAUUGUUAGUAUUCAGAA
Molecule: long non-coding RNA, 754 nt
Organism: Daphnia carinata
Lineage: Eukaryota; Metazoa; Arthropoda; Branchiopoda; Diplostraca; Daphniidae
Exons: 2
Source: RefSeq, a predicted model, not a curated record